AUGUCAUUUGGUCUGACUAACGCACCUGCCUAUUUUAUGAACAAGAUGAACAAAGUGUUUAUGGAGUUUUUGGAUAAGUUCGUCAUAGUGUUCAUUGAUGAUAUUCUGGUUUACUCGAAGAAUGAAGAGGAACAUAAGGAGCAUUUGCGUUUGGUACUUGGAAAGCUCAGAGAACAUCAAUUAUAUGCCAAGUUCAGCAAAUGUGAGUUUUGGUUGAAGGAAGUAGGAUUCCUCGGACAUGUUAUAUCUGGAGAAGGUAUAGCAGUAGAUCCCACUAAAGUUGAAACCGUGACCAAGUGGGAAGCCCCAACAACAGUUGGAGAGAUCCGGAGUUUUCUUGGACUCGCAGGAUACUACCGGAGAUUUAUUGAGAAUUUCUCAAAGAUUGCGAAGCCUAUGACGGAGUUAUUAAAGAAAGAUACAAAGUUCAUAUGGACAAAGGAAUGUGAGGCUAGUUUCCAAGAGUUGAAGAAACGUUUGGUUAGCUCACCAGUAUUGAUUUUGCCAGACCAGACCAAGGAUUAUGAGCUGUAUUGCGACGCUUCACGUCGAGGACUUGGAGCAGUGCUUAUGCAGGAAGGGAGAGUUGUUUCAUAUGCCUCAAGACAACUGAAGCAUCAUGAGUUGAAUUAUGCCACACAUGAUUUGGAGUUAGCAGCCGUAGUGCAUGCUUUGAAAACAUGGAGACAUUUCCUCAUUGGAAAUCAUUGUGAGAUGUACACGGAUCAUAAGAGUUUGAAGUACAUUUUCACAUAG
This 756-nucleotide ribosomal RNA is filed under the name Triticum aestivum (bread wheat). RNAcentral describes it as "partial small subunit ribosomal RNA". Lineage: Eukaryota; Viridiplantae; Streptophyta; Magnoliopsida; Poales; Poaceae. The record is from RNAcentral.